GAUCGGCGUAAGGGUGGUUAAGGAAAAAAUCAAAAUAAUGCUAAAGACCCUCUAAGCAGUCAUACGCUCCACGGGGGCGCGAAACCCAAAUACGAAAGUUGCCUUAAUAAGAUUUACCUGACCCCACGAAAGCUGAGAAACAAACUGGGAUUAGAUACCCCACUAUG
This 167-nucleotide ribosomal RNA is filed under the name Loricariichthys rostratus. Its description in RNAcentral is "partial small subunit ribosomal RNA". Lineage: Eukaryota; Metazoa; Chordata; Actinopteri; Siluriformes; Loricariidae. The record is from RNAcentral.